GUGCCAGCAGCCGCGGUAAAACGUAGGAGGCGAGCGUUAUCCGGAUUCACUGGGCGUAAAGCGCGCGUAGGCGGUUGGGUAAGUCGGACGUGAAAGCCCCUGGCUCAACUGGGGGAGGCCGUUCGAUACUGCCCGGCUUGAGGGUGAGAGAGGAGAGUGGAAUUCCCGGUGUAGCGGUGGAAUGCGUAGAGAUCGGGAGGAACACCAGUGGCGAAGGCGACUCUCUGGCUCACCCCUGACGCUGAGAGCGCGAAAGCGUGGGUAGCAAACGGGAUUAGAUACCCCGGUAGUCCACGCCCUAAACGAUGAGGGCUAGGUGUUGGUGGGAUUUCCCAUCUGUGCCGAAGCUAACGCGUUAAGCCCUCCGCCUGGGGACUACGAACGCAAGUUUAAA
Molecule: ribosomal RNA, 394 nt
Filed under: uncultured bacterium
Lineage: Bacteria
Description: bacterial SSU rRNA
Rfam family: Bacterial small subunit ribosomal RNA
Source: RNAcentral